CAGUAGCCACGGGAAUACGAAGGGCCCGAGCGUUGUUCGGAAUCACUGGGCGUAAAGGGAGCGUAGGCGGCGUGGUAAGUCAGAUGUGAAAUCCCGGGGCUCAACCCCGGAACUGCAUCCGAUACUGCCAUGCUAGAGGAUUGGAGAGGUAGCUAGAAUUCUUGGUGUAGCAGUGAAAUGCGUGGAGAUCAAGAGGAACACUCGUGGCGAAAGCGAGCUACUGGACAAUAACUGACGCUGAGGCUCGAAGGCCAGGGUAGCGAAAGGGAUUAGAUACCCGUGUAGUCCCUGUCUCUUAUAC
Molecule: ribosomal RNA, 301 nt
Filed under: uncultured bacterium
Lineage: Bacteria
Description: partial 16S ribosomal RNA
Rfam family: Bacterial small subunit ribosomal RNA
Source: RNAcentral